AGAUAUUAUCCCCUUGUAGUGUAGUUUAAUAGCUAUCUACAUAUUAGCUUAAUAUAAAGUAUAAUAGUUUAUAUUUUAUAAUAUGACGUUAACAAUUUUGUUUAAUAUUUGAAAAUGUUAGUAUUAGUAAUAUUAGUAUAUGUGCUAAAGGAACUCGGCAAAAAACCACUCAACUGUUUAUCAAAAACAUAGCUAUAUGAAUUAAUAUAUAGUUAUUUCUGCUCAAUGAUUUAAAUAGCCGCAGUACUCUGACUGUGCAAAGGUAGCAUAAUCAGUUGGCUUUUAAUUAGAGUCUGGUAUGAACGAAAAUAUGGGUAGUAACUGUCUUAGCACAUUUUUUCGAACUUAUUAAACAAGUGCAAAUGCUUGUAAUUUAACAAUAGACGAGAAGACCCUAGAAACUUGGACAAGUUUUUGUUGGGGCGACAGAAUUACACUUAACUAAUCUUAUAAUACACGACGCGAUGUUGAAAGAAUAAGUUACUCUAGGGAUAACAGCAUAAUUUCAUUAGUUUGUGACCUCGAUGUUGGACUAGGUACUAUACCCUUAAGGCAAGGAUAUAUUAUGCUCUGUUCGAGCAAAAUUACCUACAUGAUCUGAGUUCAGACCGG
This 612-nucleotide ribosomal RNA is filed under the name Helix pomatia (Roman snail). RNAcentral describes it as "partial 16S ribosomal RNA". It matches the Rfam family "Archaeal large subunit ribosomal RNA", at positions 1519 to 2690 of the family's 2987-position model. Lineage: Eukaryota; Metazoa; Mollusca; Gastropoda; Stylommatophora; Helicidae. The record is from RNAcentral.